This 73-nucleotide transfer RNA is filed under the name Arthonia cupressina. RNAcentral's name for it is "tRNA-Asp". It matches the Rfam family "tRNA". Rfam says of the family: Transfer RNA (tRNA) molecules are approximately 80 nucleotides in length. Lineage: Eukaryota; Fungi; Ascomycota; Arthoniomycetes; Arthoniales; Arthoniaceae. The record is from RNAcentral.
GAGCUGUUGGUUUAAUUGGCAAAACACUUUCUUGUCAAGGAAGAUAACGUCGGAUCGUUCCCGACACAGCUCG